GGAGGCGUAGCUCAAUGGUAGAGCACUUGCUUAGCAUGUAUGAGGCCCUGGGUUCAAUCCUUAGCAUCACUU
RNAcentral lists this transfer RNA (72 nucleotides) under Fukomys damarensis (Damara mole-rat). It matches the Rfam family "tRNA". From Rfam's summary of the family: Transfer RNA (tRNA) molecules are approximately 80 nucleotides in length. Their secondary structure includes four short double-helical elements and three loops (D, anti-codon, and T loops). Further hydrogen bonds mediate the characteristic L-shaped molecular structure. tRNAs have two regions of fundamental functional importance: the anti-codon, which is responsible for specific mRNA codon recognition, and the 3' end, to which the tRNAs corresponding amino acid is attached (by aminoacyl-tRNA synthetases). tRNAs cope with the degeneracy of the genetic code in two manners: having more than one tRNA (with a specific anti-codon) for a particular amino acid; and 'wobble' base-pairing, i.e. permitting non-standard base-pairing at the 3rd anti-codon position. The record is from Rfam by way of RNAcentral. Lineage: Eukaryota; Metazoa; Chordata; Mammalia; Rodentia; Bathyergidae.